RNAcentral lists this ribosomal RNA (253 nucleotides) under uncultured bacterium. RNAcentral's name for it is "partial 16S ribosomal RNA". It matches the Rfam family "Bacterial small subunit ribosomal RNA", at positions 524 to 776 of the family's 1533-position model. The record is from RNAcentral.
UACAGAGGUCCCAAGCGUUGUUCGGAUUUACUGGGCGUAAAGGGUGCGUAGGUGGCGGGGUAAGUCUGGUGUGAAAUCCUGGGGCUCAACCCCAGAACUGCAUUGGAUACUGCCUUGCUAGAGUACUGGAGAGGGAACUGGAAUUUACGGUGUAGCAGUGAAAUGCGUAGAGAUCGUAAGGAAGGCCAGUGGCGAAGGCGAGUUCCUGGACAGUUACUGACGCUGAGGCACGAAAGUGUGGGGAUCAAACAGG